UAUAUUAACGGUGAAGUACUUUAUCAAAUAAACUAUUUUAUUUUUAUUUCGGAAUAAGUAAUAUUUUGAAUCUGUUUAUGGUAUUAUUAUUGCCUAGAUAUAUAUAGUAAUCUGUUUACACUUAUUCUAUAUUUUUGUUUUUACAUAAUUUUGUUUAUAUUUAUUUUACUAAAUAAUUACUAAUAGAUAAAGAAGUAUGUGCAGGAUUUAAUUUCACGGCUAAAGAGGACUCCAAAGAAGAAUUAAAGUUCUGGUGGAUCAAAGAUAGAGGAAUGAUUUGGUUUUAACUGGUUUGCAUCUUAUGAACGAAGUACAUAAUAUGAUUUAAAUUGAUGAUUUAUAGUUACACCUAUUGAAAUUUUGUAUCUCAAUGAUAUCCUGGCUUAUCGAUACGAUAUCCUGUAAAUCCACUCAUACACAUUAAUUUUACUCACACACGUUAAUCCAAUAAAUUCACUCACACACAUUAAUCUUAAAAAAGAUGUUUAUAUUUUUAUUUAUAAAUUGUAAAUUUUAUAUAAAUAAACUGUAUAUUUUUUA
This is a long non-coding RNA of Hydra vulgaris (swiftwater hydra), 540 nucleotides long. RefSeq lists it as uncharacterized. NCBI's taxonomy places the organism in Eukaryota, Metazoa, Cnidaria, Hydrozoa, Anthoathecata, Hydridae. The record is from RefSeq and is a predicted model, not a curated record.